This 219-nucleotide ribosomal RNA is filed under the name uncultured bacterium. Its description in RNAcentral is "partial 16S ribosomal RNA". It matches the Rfam family "Bacterial small subunit ribosomal RNA", at positions 57 to 305 of the family's 1533-position model. The record is from RNAcentral.
GCAAGUCGAGCGCUCACUUCGGUGGGAGCGGCGGACGGGUUAGUAACGCGUGGGAACGUACCCAGAUCUAAGGAAUAGCCACUGGAAACGGUGAGUAAUACCUUAUACGCCCUUCGGGGGAAAGAAUUUCGGUGAUGGAUCGGCCCGCGUUAGAUUAGAUAGUUGGUGGGGUAACGGCCUACCAAGUCUACGAUCUAUAGCUGGUUUGAGAGGAUGAUC